GAGGAGGGAGAAGGAGGAUGGAGAUUUUGGCGCAGGCGCAUGGAGCCUCCUCCUGGCCCGCUGGACAGCGGCCACCUGACUGUUGGGCAAGGUCCGGAGACGGGUUGGGGCACUGGAGCCCCCAAGAGAAUCUGCUGGACCCAAACCGUUCCAGGUCACCAGGAUGGAGCCAGCACCCACCCCAAGGACAGGCACCUGGUGGAAGUCCUAGCUGCACUUCCUGCUGUACCCCACCCUAUGCCCCAGAGCCAAAGGCCAGUCCCCUUUCCGGCUCCUCUGCAACUCAAGGUGGGAGAUGAGCCCCCAAACACACAAGGACAUGAGGAAUCUGCAACCCAUCAAGCACCACAAGCUCAGCACUGGGCCCACUCCAUCUUUUUACCAUAACAUUUUUAUUAAAUAAAAGGAAAAUAUUAGGAGACGACGUCUGCUAAGGUAUGAGGUUAAUUCUUUACAUGGCAAGUGGGUCACAGAGACACGACAUCAAUCGUCCAUUAGCAGCAGAGGAGACACUUUAAGUUGCCCCAAGGGUAAAAAUUGCAUUUAUAAGACAGCAGUGCUGGCCUCUUAAAAAAAAAAA
This is a non-coding RNA of Vicugna pacos (alpaca), 580 nucleotides long. NCBI's taxonomy places the organism in Eukaryota, Metazoa, Chordata, Mammalia, Artiodactyla, Camelidae. The record is from RefSeq and is a predicted model, not a curated record.